This 274-nucleotide ribosomal RNA is filed under the name uncultured bacterium. Its description in RNAcentral is "partial 16S ribosomal RNA". It matches the Rfam family "Bacterial small subunit ribosomal RNA", at positions 523 to 796 of the family's 1533-position model. The record is from RNAcentral.
CUACGGAGGAUCCAAGCGUUAUCCGGAAUCAUUGGGUUUAAAGGGUCCGUAGGCGGGUUUGUAAGUCAGUGGUGAAAGUUUUCGGCUCAACCGGAAAAUUGCCAUUGAUACUGCAAGUCUUGAAUCAUUAUGAAGUGGUUAGAAUGUGUAGUGUAGCGGUGAAAUGCAUAGAUAUUACACAGAAUACCGAUUGCGAAGGCAGAUCACUAAUAAUGUAUUGACGCUAAGGGACGAAAGCGUGGGUAGCGAACAGGAUUAGAAACCCUAGUAGUCC